AACAAAGCAAAGCCGAAUUCCGUAUGGAAGCGGAGGACCCACCUUUUUGGGGUGAAUUCUGCCACAAGCAGAAAGGAUGUUUACCUCUCUUGCCAUCCUAACCCGACAGCUAACUUCGUAGGCUAAAGCAAAGAGGUCGA
RNAcentral lists this small RNA (140 nucleotides) under Thermosinus carboxydivorans. Its description in RNAcentral is "c-di-AMP sequence". It matches the Rfam family "c-di-AMP riboswitch aptamer (ydaO/yuaA leader)". From Rfam's summary of the family: This family represents a conserved RNA structure found upstream of the ydaO and yuaA genes in Bacillus subtilis and related genes in other bacteria. The ydaO/yuaA element is thought to act as a genetic "off" switch for the ydaO and yuaA genes in its native state. It is believed that the element may be triggered during osmotic shock leading to activation of ydaO, a predicted amino acid transporter gene, and members of the yuaA-yubG operon which code for KtrA and KtrB K+ transporters. The record is from RNAcentral. RNAcentral also lists the same sequence under 1 other name. Lineage: Bacteria; Bacillati; Bacillota; Negativicutes; Selenomonadales; Sporomusaceae.